CCGCUANGGAGUGUGUAACAACUCACCUGCCGAAGCAACUAGCCCUGAAAAUGGAUGGCGCUAAAGCUCCGUGCCUAUACCCGGCCGCCGGAAGGCAUAGGCGUGAGCCGCUCCCCCGUGGGGCGGCGAGCGCGCGAAGCCCCGGCGAGUAGGAGGGCGCGGCGGUGAGCGCGGAAGGGUCUGGGCGUGAGCCUGCCUGGAGCCGCCGCCGGUGCAGAUCUUGGUGGUAGUAGCAAAUACUCAAGCGAGGGCCUUGAGGGCUGAUGUGGAGAAGGGUUUCGUGUGAACAGCCGUUGCACACGAGUCAGUCGAUCCUAAGCCCUAGGAGAAAUCCGAUGUCGAUGCGGGGGGCCGUUCUUGCGUGCUCCCCCUCGAUGGGCGAAAGGGAAUCCGGUUCCUAUUCCGGAACCCGGCAGCGGAACCGAAUCUACGGGCCCUCGUCAGAGAAGCUCGUCGGGGUAACCCAAAGGGACCCGGAGACGCCGUCGGGAGACCCGGGCAGAGUUUUCUGUUCUGCAUAAGCGUUCGAGUUCCCUGGAAUCCUCUAGCAGGGAGAUAGGGUUUGGAACGCGAAGAGCACCGCAGUUGCGGCGGUGUCCGGGUCGUCCCCUCGGACCUUGAAAAUCCGGGAGAGGGUCACGCGGAGGUGUCGCGCCGGCUCGUACCCAUAUCCGCAGCAGGU
This 682-nucleotide ribosomal RNA is filed under the name Presibylla speciosa. Its description in RNAcentral is "eukaryotic LSU rRNA". It matches the Rfam family "Eukaryotic large subunit ribosomal RNA", at positions 1268 to 1864 of the family's 3401-position model. Lineage: Eukaryota; Metazoa; Arthropoda; Insecta; Mantodea; Hymenopodidae. The record is from RNAcentral.